GUCUUGUCCUAAUAAAAUAUUUGUUAUGAAUUUUGUCUUCAUUUUAAAAGAGUCCAUACUGCCGAUUCAUGUAUAUUUGUGGGUGUAAAUUUUUUGUUGAUUAUUAGGUCUUUCCACUUUUCCAGGGAAGGUAUACACCUAAUGGUUUUGUUCUGAUUAUUUAUUUUAUUUUUUUCUUGCACUGUAAUUUUGUUUCAAAAGAUGUAGCUUAUUUUUUUUAUUUAUAUACUGUAUAAUAUCAUACAGUCUAUACGCUAUUUACUGACCGUGUUU
This 273-nucleotide long non-coding RNA is filed under the name Mytilus galloprovincialis (Mediterranean mussel). Lineage: Eukaryota; Metazoa; Mollusca; Bivalvia; Mytilida; Mytilidae. The record is from RNAcentral.